GCGUUUAGAGUUCAAAUCUCUAAAUCCCAAUUGCACGCCGGCGUACCGGAACCAAACAGUUCGCUGCAGUUUCCGGGGGAGAUGCUUGAGUACGUUACGAGGAAUCGAUUGCUCCUGCCUGACGGAGGUCUCCCGGAAGAGGACUGCGAAAGAGCCUGUCUUGUCCAGGAGGCAGUUUGAGCCGCAGAGAUUGGGGGUGGGCGCGCUGGGCCUGUCCGUGUGGAUCGGAGUGUUCAGUCAUGUUUGUCUACGCAGUGACGUGGGCUUUGCUCAAGAAAGAGACCCUCCGCUGCGGUGUUUUCUUGUUGGUGUCGGAGUUGGAGAGUGAUCCUAGAAAUACCUGUGGUUGAGACACCGUGUAGGGUCUCCAGAAAACAGGAGUUGCAACAGAGAUAUCAGCCAGCCACAAUCAUUGGUUACCACAGUGCUGGUGUAAUGGGCUCAUGAAUUGAGUGCUGUGAUGGCAGAGAAAAAGGCUAUUCGUGUGCACAAAAGCAUGGCAUCCCUCACCAAGGCUGACCUUGCUACCACCAUCACCAUACCUGUCAACAACAGAGACUGAUACUGUGCAUGAAUCUUUGAGGAGAACAACCAGUCACUUAGUGGCACUUGUUUACGUAAGACCCCUUGCACCCUGGAAAGAGCAGCAAUUGAAUACAAUUGACAUAUUUUCUAAGUGUGAGUUUACCUUUCCUGCCUGCAUUGACUUGGUCAGCACCUUGGGCUCACAGAGUAUCUGAUUUCACUGACAUGGGGUCCAGAUCAAGGGAAUGAAUUUAUGAGAAAGAGGUUCAGCAGUGGGCACGAGCCUGUGUUAUUCACAGGUCCUGCUCCAUUCCACAUCAUUCAUCAGCUGUUAGCCUGACAGAGCAAUGGAACGGCCUCUAAGAAACACAGCUUGGAGACGAUAUCCUACAAAGAUGGAGCACUAUCCUUCCAGACACAGUAUGUAUAUUAAAGCAGAGGUUGGCAAAUGGUCGUUCAAAGGCCAAAUCUGGCUGGCUGCUGUUUUACAAAAAAAAAAAUUUUGGACCACAACCAUACUCAUCAUCUACAUGCUGUCUACGGCUUCUUUUAUGCUGCAUUGAUGAAGUUGAGUAGUUGUGUCAGAGACUGUGUGGUCCACAGAACCUAAAUAUUUAUUGUCUAGCAUUUUACAUAAAAAGUUUGUUGCUCUUGCCCUAAACCAGUGGUCACCUUAUGGCCCUGUGUUACCACUGGAAACCAAGGAAUGGGAAGGACGAUGGCCCCUUUCCAGAAACCUACUUGAGAAGCUUGCGCUUUUAGUUUCUGAGGCUUUAGACUGUUGAAGAACUAAAUGUCCUGGUUUCUAGAAAGGGGACACUUCCACUAGGGAACACAUUGAUAGUUGUGCUUAACUUAAGGCUGUUGCUGCCAUUGACCAUUCUAGGCUCACAGUGCCAGCAGCCCAGCAGGAAGAGAAAAGAGUUACCAUGUUUAAAGGGGUAAUUGACUGACAAUCAUGAGGAGGUAGGGUUGUUGCUACAUAAUGGUGGCAGGGAAGAAUAUAUUUAGCAUUCAUGUGAGCCACUGGGGUAUCUCUUGGUAUUGUCACUGUAACUUGGCAAGUAUUUGUUCAGCCAUCAGCAUGGUAAACAAAAUCUCAGACCCUUCAGGUGACACCACCAGGUGAGCCACCUAAACACACAGAAUGCUGGCUCAGGUUGAGGGGAAUGUAGAAGUGGGUGGUAAAGGAAAUAGUAUCGGUCUGACCGUAGGGCGAACUGCAGCAGUGGAGGCUAUAGUUUCAUCCCACUAACUUUUCUAUUAAGUUUUCCUAGAAAUUGUGAUCGACCAGAACCCUGGAGAAGGUGUAAAGAAUGGAGUGAACCUAAUGUGCAAAGCAAAUGGACCUGAGAGGUACAAGGGGUGGAGCGUAGCAGACAAUGUUGGUGCUCUGUCUGGAUGUCCUGGGUUUCAUUUUAUUGGUUCAGUGCACCCAUUCUUCUCCAUCUGCUGAAUGUGAUGCUGCUAAUGGCUCACACCUGCGACGUUUUCUAGAGGCUUCCCCUUGGUAGACUGGAGCAACAACACCAGGAGCUAGUUGUCUGGAAGUAAUGCACUACUCAUCCCUUUAACAGCCAGUAAACAGUGACGGCCUAAUGCCUGGUACGGAGGUACAGAAGCUUCGCUUCCUUGUCGGCAUGGGGCAAAGACUGUGGUGUGGUGUGGUGUGGUGUGGACGCCAGAGCCCCUGGGUGAUUUCAGGGGCCGAGGCCACACUGAGCUGAAACCACACACUCUUGCUUUGCUUCUUCCCUUGGCCUUUUCCAUGAGGUUUUGUUUGUUUGUUUUUGUUUUUGUUUGGUAUAGUUAUGAGGCUGGACCUUAAAAGAUGCUGCUGAUAUGCUGAUGGGUCUAAAACAGGCAGCUCAGGGUUGUGUUGGGCCCAAGAUUUCUCAUAUAAUUACGAAAUUCCCCCCUUGAAAAACUCAGUUGUAUCUUUUCUGCUUUUGUAAAGUUUAUUCUAUGUUUUCCCUAAUGUCUAAAGAUUGAAUGCUAAGUUCAUUAAUGUUGAGCCUCUUUUGUACUUAGGAAUAUAUAAUUAUCCAUUUUCCUCAAAAUAAGAUUUUAGCAGCAUCUCACAAGUUUUGAAUAUGACUUUAUCAUUCAGUUCUAAGAACUUAUGAUGUCCAUUAUGACUUUUUUAACCCCCAAAUAAAAGUUUAAAUUUCCAAAUA
Long non-coding RNA from Phyllostomus discolor (pale spear-nosed bat), 2702 nucleotides. RefSeq lists it as uncharacterized. The transcript is spliced from 2 exons. Lineage: Eukaryota; Metazoa; Chordata; Mammalia; Chiroptera; Phyllostomidae. The record is from RefSeq and is a predicted model, not a curated record.